This 1311-nucleotide long non-coding RNA is filed under the name Fukomys damarensis (Damara mole-rat). Its description in RNAcentral is "lncRNA (ENSFDAG00000022675.1)". The record is from RNAcentral. Lineage: Eukaryota; Metazoa; Chordata; Mammalia; Rodentia; Bathyergidae.
AGGCACGAGCCCCAACCAGGUGCAGCGAUCACGUGGCACGGAGGAAGCGGGAGUCUCCUCACUAGCGGAAGGCUUUUUGGAAUUUUGGGAUUGAAUCCAUGGCCUUCACACUGUGUAUGCCUUAUUCUUGACAAGUUUAACAAACCCCAUCCUGUGGAAUAGACACCUGUGUCUGCUCUGCAUAGACCAGCUGGCCCAGCAGUGCUACAGAGGAGAAAUGUCUGGGACCUCACACCUGUAUUUUGGAUCACACUCACCAAGUGCCAUAGAAAAUGCUCAGAAGAUGGACAUUUGGCAUAAUAGACUGCUCCUUUCCCAGUGCUCUUGGAUACAGCUUGGCAAACAAUACCUAUUCCAAGAAACACCAUUCUUCACCACGGUCGUGUUAUUUCUCUCAUAUAGGCAGUGCUGCAUCCAGAGAAAAUUGACUGACCCCAAAGCAAGCAGGGAGCAGCACAGAAGUUUGUAAAAUUGGUCUUGGCACCUCUCAUGCCUGCGACUAUUUUGAGUCAUUGGUGUCUGAGCUUCUGAUUAUCCAAGGAAACCCACAGAAAAGAGCCAGUCUCCACAUGCCCUUUGCCCUGAAAGUUCUCAAGAGAUAAUUUCUCUGCCACUCUAAGAAACUCAAUGUGAUAUCUUACAAGAAAAUACACCCCCCCACACACUGUACUGGGUAUUGAACCCAGAGACUUUUCACUGAGUUGCAUCCCCAGCUCUUUUCAUUUUUUUUUUCUAGUUUUUGGAUGGGUAUCACUACUUUACCAAGUUGCCCUAGGUUGAGCUUGAACUUGUGAUCCUCCUGCCUCAACCUCCCAGAGUUCUGGGAUUGCAGAUGUGUGCCACCACACCUAGCCACAAAUAAAAUUAUCAGGCAGAUCUCUAAAUGGAGUGGCAGGAAGAACAAAAUGUUGAAUUCCUUUGUACUAACCAAAGGACAGAGCCUUCCAGAAUGAGUUCAAAGGAUACGUCUCCCUGGCCCUCCGGUCUGUCCGCUUCUGCCAGGGGUGCUUCCUGACCUCAGCUCUCCCUCCUCCCUCUGGAGUCCCCAACCCAGCUCCCAUCCCAGACCUCUCUUCAGGUUCCUCUCUUAGGUGACCCCACUGUUCUCUCUGCAAGCAACCUUACCUCACCUGUCAUAGGAAGCUUCUUCCUCUGGCUCCUUCCUCUGUCUUCAAACUCAAGCAGGUUUCAGGUUGACUGUAGCUUUCAGAGAACAGCUUCCAUUUCCUGAAAAACAUUUAAUGACGGCAGAAUCUCCUCACUGGUGAGAUAGGUGUUAGCAGUGAACUGAGUAUAAUCUUUAAUACCAAC